UGCAUGGUGUUGCGAACAGACCGCGGGCCC
This 30-nucleotide small RNA is filed under the name Bombyx mori (domestic silkworm). RNAcentral's name for it is "ovarian small RNA-33585". The record is from RNAcentral. Lineage: Eukaryota; Metazoa; Arthropoda; Insecta; Lepidoptera; Bombycidae.